UUGAGGACAGCUACAGUUGACUGACUCUGUGUGUUUGCAUAUCUGUCCUGCCUCUCUGCUCCCAGCCGUUAAGAGGCCAGUGUUGAUCAGUGGCUGUCCAGGCCUUUCAGAGCCACUGACACGCCGGCAGCACAAUCAUCAUGUCUCUGACUCUACUGCUGGCCACCCUGGGGCUCCUUGUUCAGGGUUCAUCAGGAGAAAUCACAGUGACUCAGUCUCCUGGAUCUCAGUCUGUUGUUCUGGGACAGACUGUCUCUAUCAGAUGUAAAGCCAGUUCAAGUGUUAGUAGCUACCUCAACUGGUACCUUCAGAAACCUGGAGAAGCUCCUAAACUCCUGAUUUAUUCUGCUACAACCCGUCAGUCUGGAGUUUCAGAUCGUUUUAGUGGAAGUGGAUCUGGGACUGACUACACUCUGACCAUCAGUAGAGUUCAGGCUGAAGAUGCAGGAGUUUAUUAUUGUGGACAGAGUUAUAGCGGGUUCACACAGUGAUACAACGUCGUACAAAAACCUCCCUCAGC
This is a non-coding RNA of Lates calcarifer (barramundi perch), 520 nucleotides long. The record is from the annotation of a RefSeq genome assembly. NCBI's taxonomy places the organism in Eukaryota, Metazoa, Chordata, Actinopteri, Centropomidae.